RNAcentral lists this ribosomal RNA (528 nucleotides) under Aliarcobacter butzleri. Its description in RNAcentral is "partial 23S ribosomal RNA". It matches the Rfam family "Bacterial large subunit ribosomal RNA", at positions 1 to 550 of the family's 2925-position model. The record is from RNAcentral. Lineage: Bacteria; Pseudomonadati; Campylobacterota; Epsilonproteobacteria; Campylobacterales; Arcobacteraceae.
UAAUAAGCUAUUAAGGGCUAAUGGUGGAUGCCUAGACUGUAAGAGGCGAUGAAAGACGUAUUAGGCUGCGAUAAGCCUCGGGGAGCUGCCAAAGAGCUUUGAUCCGGGGAUUUCUGAAUGGGGCAACCCAAUAUAAUGAGAAUUAUAUUACCCUACGGGGAGCGAACCUAGUGAAGUGAAACAUCUCAGUAGCUAGAGGAAGAGAAAUCAAACGAGAUUCCCAAAGUAGCGGCGAGCGAAAUGGGAUUAGGACAAACCCAAUGCUUGCAUUGGGGGUUGUAGGACCAUGAUAUGAGACUAAAGAGGAUAGAUGAAAUACUUGGAAAAGUGUAGCAUAGAAGGUGAAACUCCUGUAAUUAAAAUUCUCAAUAGCUCUAAUGGUAUCCUGAGUAGGUCGGAACACGUGAUAUUUUGACUGAAGCCGGGGGGACCACCCUCCAAUCCUAAAUACUACUUACAGAUCGAUAGUGAACAAGUACCGUGAGGGAAAGGUGAAAAGUACUCCAGCGAGGAGAGUGAAAUAGAACC